RNAcentral lists this ribosomal RNA (241 nucleotides) under uncultured bacterium. RNAcentral describes it as "partial 16S ribosomal RNA". It matches the Rfam family "Bacterial small subunit ribosomal RNA", at positions 524 to 763 of the family's 1533-position model. The record is from RNAcentral.
UACGUAGGGCGCAAGCGUUGUCCGGAAUUAUUGGGCGUAAAGAGCUCGUAGGCGGUCUGUCGCGUCUGCUGUGAAAUCCCGAGGCUCAACCUCGGGCUUGCAGUGGGUACGGGCAGACUAGAGUGCGGUAGGGGAGAAUGGAAUUCCGUGGUGUAGCGGUGGAAUGCGCAGAUAUCAGGAGGAACACCGAUGGACGAAGGCAGUUCUCUGGGCCGUAACUGGACGCUAGGAGCGAAGCGUG